GUGGCGUUGGGCCGCGAAUAGUCGGGCUGCGUCGUGAAGCCGACGUUGACCGCGUUGGUGUCGGUGACGUUCAGCUUGUCGACGCUGCC
Molecule: transfer RNA, 89 nt
Filed under: Beijerinckiaceae bacterium RH AL1
Lineage: Bacteria; Pseudomonadati; Pseudomonadota; Alphaproteobacteria; Hyphomicrobiales; Beijerinckiaceae
Also listed under: 2 other names
Description: tRNA-Arg(tcg)
Source: RNAcentral